CGAACGCUGGCGGCAGGCCUAACACAUGCAAGUCGAGCGCACCCUUCGGGGCGAGCGGCGGACGGGUUAGUAACGCGUGGGAACGUACCCAAAUCUACGGAAUAGCCUCGGGAAACUGAGAGUAAUACCGUAUACGCCCUUCGGGGGAAAGAUUUAUCGGAUUUGGAUCGGCCCGCGUUAGAUUAGGUAGUUGGUGGGGUAAUGGCCUACCAAGCCUACGAUCUAUAGCUGGUUUUAGAGGAUGAUCAGCAACACUGGGACUGAGACACGGCCCAGACUCCUACGGGAGGCAGCAGUGGGGAAUCUUAGACAAUGGGCGCAAGCCUGAUCUAGCCAUGCCGCGUGAGUGAUGAAGGCCUUAGGGUCGUAAAGCUCUUUCGCCAGGGAUGAUAAUGACAGUACCUGGUAAAGAAACCCCGGCUAACUCC
RNAcentral lists this ribosomal RNA (428 nucleotides) under uncultured bacterium. Its description in RNAcentral is "bacterial SSU rRNA". It matches the Rfam family "Bacterial small subunit ribosomal RNA", at positions 30 to 504 of the family's 1533-position model. The record is from RNAcentral.